This 246-nucleotide long non-coding RNA is filed under the name Arachis ipaensis. RNAcentral's name for it is "long non-coding RNA (AIPA_LNC002458)". Lineage: Eukaryota; Viridiplantae; Streptophyta; Magnoliopsida; Fabales; Fabaceae. The record is from RNAcentral.
AGAGUAUGAAUCAUGUGGAACAGGUGUACUAAUGUGCUUCUUCCCCUGCUUCACAAGCAAUGGUUCAAAAAAAUCUCCCUUUGAUCUUCCAGUUUCUGACAAGGAGCUAUUAUUUCCAAGAGAUGGAUUUGCUGAGUUGUUUAACUGGAAAUUUAAUAGCUUUAGUUCUCUUUCAACUACAAAUACAGCAGAAUGUUCUCUGCUGUCUGAUGGGGUUGGUAGCGGAGCUACAGGUGGAAGAGAUCU